This 11839-nucleotide long non-coding RNA is filed under the name Homo sapiens (human). Its description in RNAcentral is "non-protein coding LINC01473:11". Lineage: Eukaryota; Metazoa; Chordata; Mammalia; Primates; Hominidae. The record is from RNAcentral.
AGAUGGCAAAAGGCCUGAGGGUGAAUCUGGGCGAGCUGGUUGAGUCCAUGCGUUUGUGCUUCCUCUCAGUCCACUUUCGCUUACGAUGGGGCGACUCUUGUCCAUCGUCACCUCACCGGGAAACUUUUCCUGCCGGGCCAGUUAAUGGUCCCCUGUACCAUCCCCAUCCUGAGUGACUACUAAGCAGCCGCAGCGACUCGGGGUUGCUCCGUGACCACGUUACUCAGUUAACCUUCUUGUUCCCUGGAGAGGCGGAGCUGAAUGGCCCGGACGGGGUUUCUCCAUGUUUCCCAGGCUGGUCUCAAACUCCUGGACUCAAGCAAUCUGCCCACCUUGCCUCCCAAAAUGCUCCUCCAAAAAAGGAGUGUGCCGCCACACCCAGCCUGAGCAACUUUUGUUUUUAAGGGUUUACCUCUGUUGCCUAGGCUGGAAUACAGUGGCGUGGUCAUAGCUCACUGCAUCCUCGAACUACUGAGCUUAAGCAGUUCUCCGCCUCAGCCUCCCAAGUAGCUGGAACUGCAAGAGCAUGCCACUGUGCCCAGGUAAUUUUUUUUACUGUUUUGUAGAGACAGGGUCUUGCUAUGUUGUCCAGGCUGGUCUUGAACUCCUGGGCUCACAUGAUUCUCCUGACUCAGCCUCCCAAAGUGUUGGGAUAACAGGUGUGAGCCACCCUAUCUGGCUUAAUUGGAAGUUGUUUGAUUUUUGUUCAUAAUUACACUGGGGUUGUUUUGGGAGGAAGAUCACAGAGGUAAAGUGCCAUUUUAAUCACUUCAUGUCAAGGGUACAUAUUAUCAACAUAAUUAUUACCAUUGAUGUUGACCUUUAUCUCCUGGCUGUGGUAGUUUUUGCCAAGUUUCUAAAAUUCUUUUUUAACUUGAAAGGAAGUAACUAUUUGCAUUCCACACAGUGAAGAGUUGUGCUCCAUCUCCUGGAUUGCGGAGUAUCUAUGUAAAUAAUUUGGAGCUCUUCUCUAUGAGAGAUUUGUCUCUUUUUAUUUAUUUAUUUAUUUAUCCAAGCAUUUAUAUUUAUAUCAGCACUUAUGUCAGCAUGAUAUUUAUUUUAGAGUUUGGGUUAUAAUCCAAUAUUACUUAAUUUUGUUGCUCAAAUUAUUCACAUGCACUGCACCUGUUUUUAUCUGAGAAAUGAUGAAUUGAGGCAUGAAUCGGAUUUUCUUCUUUGCCUUGUUCCAGAAAGCUUAGAGCCACAUCUGUGACCUUGCAAAAAUUGCUCAGAAAUUGAUGCAUUUUUACAUUAUUCUGAUGUCUGACUCUGGUCUGUUGGUAGCGUUGUUCUUCUUUCUUCUUUUCACUUUUUUCUGUUUCAUAUUAUCUUGCUGUGUUUUAUAAAUUUAAGCCACUUUAAAUUCUUUUGGAAAGAAGGCCAGAAGAAGCUAUCUGUCUUUAUUUAUCUUCCUUUUAUUCCAACAAUCAUCCAUGUCUCUUCUGUCUCUCACUACAUAUGAACUGACUACUGCCAAUGCUCCAUCUGGGAUCCUGAUGCCAUGGCCCUGCUUUGGGGGGCUGCUGGGCAUUGCCUUGCCAUGAACUGCUAUACAGAGCUGUGCCAGGUGUUGGACAGCUGCCUGGCCAGGCUUCACAUCAAGCUGGUUUCUCACUGGCAGAGCCAGAGUAGCUAGAGUGAGAUUUUACCUUCAAUGGGCUCCUUUGGGCUCAUUGUUUUUCUUUGCUCUUUUAACAGAUUGUCUAACUAACUGCACUGGCAGAAAAGGUGGCCAUUGUGAAAUAUGUAACAAUUGUUAAUGCCUUGAAGAAGAAUUUUGUAGAACAUGGUGAUCUUGGUUACCUGCUUGCUUUGGUGCUGUUUAAAGCUUCAGCUCUAAUUCAACAGAAACCUGUAUUCCUAGUUCAUUUCAAAGAGUCUAAGUUUCUUUUUACUGUGAAGAGUCUAGUGGUACCUUCCUCCACAGGUUAUGGCUGGGAUGGAGUAAGAUAAAGUUAGCAAAGUUUUCAACAUAGGGCCAGCACAUGGCUCUAAAAAUGGUAGCUGUUAUGGUCAUCAGAGUGAACCAAUUUACAUCAAUAUCCGAAGUUUAACUUUGUUAUUUCUGCUCUAUGCUUUGUUUUGUAAUUGGAAGUGCAGUGGAGAGCAAGUGGGCUGAAGUCAUGGCUGGAAUGAUCUUGGCCACUAAGCUUGUAGAAAAGAGUCUCAGCUUAAAAGCUUGGGGUUAGAGAGUUGUGGAUUCAAAUACCACCUCUGUCAUUUAGUUGCUGUAUUAUUUGGGGCUAAGUACUUAACCUCUUUUAGGCUCAGUUUCUCCAUCCUUAAAAUGGUGAUAAUGAAGCUACCUCGGAGAGAUGUCAUGAGGUGAAAGGAGAGUGCUAUGUGGCACACUGCUGUCAAUAAAUUAGCUUGCAAAGACAGUUGCAUUUAAAUGUUAGUGACUAUCAAGCAGAUAGAAGAGAGAAAAAGAAUAUUCCUCUAUUUAAAAUAAGUUCUCAUUUUGCAGAUGAAACUUUGCAACUCAGAGAGGCAGAGUAACUUGCUCAGGUUUGUUUUGUUUUGUUUUGUUUUGUUUUGUGUGUGUGUGUGUGUUUUUAUCACAGAGCUUGCAACUGAGACAUGGAUAUGAGGAGUAGUUGAAAUAUGUAUGUUUUUCUGAAGUGGAAGCCCCUGUGCGAGGCAGACAAGGAGGAAAAACUCACAGUUAAUGAGAAGAAAUGUCUGAUGUGCAUGGCCAUUCUUCUGAAGGUGGCUCCAUAAACAUUUGUGUUUGAGGUGACUAUGGUUCUUGACCUUGUUUUGGGCCCAGAGUCCUUUGGGCUAGAUUUAUAAAUAUUUAGAGUAAGCAUGAGGGCAAGAGUGUGACCUGAGGUGAGGCUCAAAGAGGGCCCUGAGGUGGGUCACCCAGAAUACUGAAGGUCAAGCUCAUUUAUCUGGGCCAGUGAAGACUUUUAAGUAUGGGUGGGUAUUUAUAAUUUAGCCAUUACUCUGUGUCUGGGAGAAUGAUCUGACUCUGGAACUGGGGAGAUUCUGGUAGCAUCUUCUGUCCCAGAGUUCACACCCAUCUCUCUCAGGACCUCACUUUCCCGCCUGUUCCCUGGCAGUUCCUCCUCUGGUCCUUUCACUAAGUGACAAACAUAUUUCACUUGUGAGUGUUUACAACCCUGAGGAAAUAUUUUUACCAGAAGAAGAUGUCCUGCCACAGCUGGAAAGACUGUUAGAGUUUUGUUCACAGUUUCUGAGGGUCAGGAAUCUGGUGGCAAGGCUGCAGUCUUUAAAGCUUUGCUGAAGUUGGCCUGUCUGCUUCUAAAAAGGCUCCCUCACAUUCCUGUUGUCAGGAGGUCUUAGCUCCUCAGCAUGCCAACCUUUGCACAUGGCUUCUCACAAUGUGGCAGCAGGCUCCCCACAACCUGCCUUUGCUGCUGUAGGAGAUUUUUAAAGAUAUUUUCUCUGUGUUUUUUUUUUUUUUUUUUUUUUUGACGGAGUCUUGCUCUGUCGCUCAGGCUGGAGUGCAGUGGUGCGAUCUGGGCUCACUGCAGCCUCUGCCUCGCGGGUUCAAGCAAUUCUCCUGCCUCACCCUCCCAAGUAGCUGGGACUACAGGCAUGUGCUGCCAUGCCCAGCUAAUUUUUGUAUUUUUAGUAGGGACGGGGUUUCACCAUGUUGGCCAGGAUGGUCUUGAUCUCCUGGAUCUUGUGAUCCACCCACCUUGGCCUCCCAAAGUGCUGGGAUUGCAGGCGUGAGCCACGGUGCCCGGACUUUCUCUGUUUUUUCCUAUGUGUUCACCAACUUUUUGCAGAGAGAUUUGCAAAUGCUUCUCCCUGCAUCCUUAAGCCCAAAAGAAGGAGAUUGAUAUUAGCAGCCUAGAGCUACUUUUCUAUUAUAACAUUGGGGAUAUUGCAAAUCAGUCACACAACCAGUGAGUGGCUUGACUUACCAGUAGUCACUAGGCAAUCCUCAUCCUAAGCCAACAGUCUCUUGUAAGGCAUAGGUUCAGGCAGUAAUUUAAAGCAACUUUUUGAAGCCUUAUUUUAUGAAUAAGGAAUUCUCAUCUAAGUCUCUGUCUUCCACUGGGGAUUUUGGCUAUACCACCUGUGAUGGUUAAUGCUGAGUGUCAACUUGAUUGGAUUGAAGGAUGCAAAGUAUUGAUCCUGGGUGUGUCUGUGAGGGUGUUGCCAAAGGAGAUUAACAUUUGAGUCAGUGAGCUGGGAAAGGCAGACCCACCCUUGAUUUGGGUGGGCACCAUUUAAUCAACUGCCAGCAUGUCUAGAAUAUAAAGCAGGCAGAAAAACGUGAAAAUGCUAGACUGGCUUAGCCUCUGAGCCUACAUCUUUCUCCUUUGCUGGAUGCUUCCUGCCCUUGAACAUCAAACACCAAGUUUUUCAGCUUUGGGACUUGGGCUGGCUUCCUUGUCCGCAGCUUGCAGAUGGCCUAUUGUAAGACCUUGUGAUUGUGUGAAUUAAUACUACUUAAUAAACUCCCAUAUAUAUAUAUAUAUAUAUCCCAUAUGUAAACUGAUAUAUAUAUAUAUAUAUAUCCUAUUAGUUGUGUCCCUCUAGAGAACCCUGACUAAUACAGAUUUUGGUACCAGGAGUGGUUCCAGAGGAACAGAAUAUUAAGGAUGGAAUUCUUUCAUUGGUUUUGGGCUUUCUGGAGUUGGCUGCUUAAUAUGACUAGACCCCAAAAUCUUAAGGAUUCUACUUCUAAUAGUAUGGAGGCACUGAUAGUCCUUGACAUGAACUGUUGAGAGAGUUAUGCAAAAUAAAUGCAUUUGACACUCCUGAUUCACUGCUCAUGAGAGGCAAAGAGUUUAGUGACUCCAUGCACAAUAACUUUGGCCAAGUUGGAGAACCCAGAAACAUAAUGAAGUUGGUUGGUUGCUCCUAAGUUCACUGGACAAAGUGAUAAAAGAAAAUGAUGAAUUCAGGGAUUGUAACUCCUGGCUUCAGAAGCAGAUCCUGAGCCUCAAAUCUGCUAAGAUUUCCCUGAGUGAGAGUCUUAUCUCCUGUAGAGAAAGAGCUGAAAUUGUGGAAAAACAGACACAAGUUCUCAUCAUGUGAGUGGUUGACCUGCAACGAAAGAAGCAUGCACAGCCUCGCCAGGUGUCUACUGUUAAAGUGAUGGUAUUGAUUGGAAAAGAAUGGGACCCUGCAACUUGGAAUGGGGACGUGUGGGAGGACCCUGAUGAAGCUGGGACACUGAGUUUGUAAAUUCUGAUGAACCUUUUUUUGCCAGAAGAAACAGCUUCCCCAUCCCCAGUAGUGGUAAUAUCCCCUCCCUGACCUACCCCUGACCUACGCUGCCAUCAGCCUUUCCACCUUUGUCUGAGGAGAUAAACCCUGCACUGCCUGAGGCAACAGUGAUGGCCUCCCCUGAGGCAGUUGCCAGGCAAGUUAAUGUUGAUUCUCCUCAGGAGACACCACCAGUACCCCUGUUUGCUUCUAGACCUAUGACUAGACUGAAGUCCUGGCAGACCCUUAGAGGUGAGGUUCACAGUGUGACCCAGGAGGAGGUGUGCUACACUUGAAAAUAACUGCUUGAGUUUUCUAAUUCAUAUAAGCAGAAAUCUGGAGAACAGGCAUAGGAAUGGAUAUUAAGGGUGUGGGAUAAUAGUGGAAGGAACAUAAAGUUGAAUCAGGCUGAAUUUAUUGAUUUGGGCCCACUAAGUAGGGACUCUGCAUUUAAUGUUGCAGCUUGAGGAGUUAAAAAAAGGUUCUAAUUUGCUUGGUUAGCUGAAAUACGGCUUAAAAGAUAGCCCACUGUGAGCAAGCUGGAAAUACCUGAUCUCCCUUGGUUUAAUGUAGAUGAAGGAAUCCAAAGGCUCAGGGAGAUUGGGAUGGUGGAGUGGCUUAGUCACUUUAGACCUACUUAUCCCAGCUGGGAGGGUCCAGAAGAUAUACUCUGACCAGUGUUUGGUGAAAUAGAUUUGUAAGGGCAGCACCUGCAUUUUUGAAGAGCUCUGUAAUUGCUCUUCACUGUAUGUCAGAUCUAACAGUGGGAACCACAGUCAUUCAACUAUAAAAUUUAAAUACAGUGGGAAUAAUUGGAUCCCAAGGUGGUAGCGGUCAAGUGGCGGCACUCAACUGUCAAAGGCAAGGUGGGCAUAGCUACUGUAAUGGACACCAGAGGCAAAGCAGUGAUCAAAAUAGUCUGACUUAUGUAGAGCUCUGGCAUUGGCUAAUUAAUCGCAGUGUUCCUAGAAGUGAAACUGAUAGGAAGCCUAUUGCAUUCCUGCUUAACUUAUAUAAGCAGAAAACUUCCAGGUCACAUAGACAAAAGACCAAUUUGAGUUAUAAAACAGAGAAUCAUGGUCCCUCAAUCAAUUUCCAGACUUGAGACAGUUUGUAGACUCAGAACCCCUUGAAUGAAAGGGAGGCCAGGUCCCCUUGAGGAAGGAUCACACUCUACUACCGACAAUUUAUGCUGUUAACUUUCUUCCAGCCUUCCCCAAGGAGACCUCUGGCCUUUUACCAGGUUAACUGUGCAAUGGGGAAAGGGAAAUGAUCAGACAUUUGGGGGACUACUGGACAUUGUCUCUGAGCUGACGUUGAUUCCAGAGGACCCAAAACAUCAUUGUGGUCCUCCAGUUAAAGUUGGGGCUUAUGGAGGUCAGGUAUAAAGGAGUUUUAGCUCAGGUCCAACCUACAGUGGAUCCCCAGACUCAUCCUCUGGUCAUUUCUCCAGUGCCAGAAUGUAUAGUUGGCAUAGACAUACUUAGCAGCUGGCAGAACCCCCACAUUGGGUCCCUGACUGGUAGAGUGAGGGCUACUGUGGUGGGAAAGGCCAAAUGGAAGCCAUUAGAGAUGCUUCUACCUAGAAAAAUAAUCAAUAUUGCAUCCCUGGAGGGAUUGUGGAGAUUAGUGCCGCCAUCAAGGACUUGAAAGACGCAGGGGUGGUGAUUCCCACCACAUCCCCAUUCAACUCUCCUAUUUAGCCUAUGCAGAAGACAGAUGGAUCUUGGAGAAUGACAGUGGAUUAUCGUAAGCUUAACCAAGUGGUGACUACAAUUGCAGCUGCUGUACCAGAUGUGGUUUCAUUGCUUAAGAAAAUUAACACAUCUCCUGGUACCUGAUAGGCAGCCAUUGACUUGGCCAAUGCCUUUUUCUCCAUUCCUGUCCAUAAGGCCCAGCAGAAGCAAUUUCUCUUCAGCUGGCAAGGCCAGCAAUAUAUCUUUACUGUCCUGUCUCAGAGGUUUGAGAGACAGCUCUUGGUCUGUUACUGGGCUUUGGUGGAAACUGAACGUUUGACUAUGGUUCAUCAAGUCACCAUGCGACCUGAAUUGCCUAUCAUGAACUGGGUGCUUUCUGACCCAUCUAGCCAUAAAAUGGGUCAUGCAUAGCAGCAUUCCAUCAUUAACUAGAAGUGGUAUAUAAGUGAUUGGACUUGAGCAGGUCCCAAAGGCACAAGUGAGUUACAUGAGGAAGUGGCUCAAAUGCCCAUUGUCUCCACGCCUGCCACCCUGCUUUCUCUUCCCGAGCCUGCACCGUUGGCCUCAGGGGGAGUUCCCCAUGAUCAGUUGACAGAGGAAGAGAGACUAGGGCCUGGUUCACAGAUGGUUCUGCACAAUAUGCAGGCACCACCCUAAAUUGGAUAGCUGCAGCACUAUAGUCUCUUUCUAGGACAUCCCUGAAGGACAGUGGUGAAGGGAAAUCUUCCCAGUGGGCAGAACUUUGAGCAGUGCACCUGGUUGUGCACUUUGCAUGUAAGGAGAAAUGGCCAGAUGUGUGAUUAUAUACUGAUUCAUGGGCUGUAGCCAAUGGUUUGGCUGGAUGAUCAGGGACUUGGAAGAAGCAUGAUUGGAAAAUUGGUGACUAAGAAAUUUGGGGAAGAGGUAUGUGGGUGGACCUCUCUGAUGGGUCAAAAACUGUGAAGAUAUUUGUAUCCCAUGUGAGUGCUCACCAAUGAGUGACCUCAGCAGAGGAAGAUUUUAAUAAUCAAGUGGAUAGGAUGACCCAUUCUGUGGACACCACUCAGCCUCUUUCCCCAGCCACCCCUAUCAUUGCCCAAUGGGCCCAUGAACAAAUUGGCCAUGGUGGCAGGGAUGGAGGUUAUGCAUGGGCUAAGCAACAUGGACUUCCACUCACUAAGGCUGACCUGGCUACAGCCACUGCUGAGUACCCAACAGCAGAGAUCAACAAUGAGCCCUUGAUAUGGCACCAUUCCUUGGGGUGAUCAGCAAGCUACCUUGUGGCAGGUUGAUUAUAUUGGUCCUCUUCCAUCAUGGAAAGUGCAGAGGUUUGUCCUCACUGAAAUAGACACUUACUUCAGAUAUGAGUUUGCUUAUCCUGCAUGCAGUGCUUCUGCCAAGACUACUGUUUGUGGACUCAUGGAAUGCCUUAUCUACCAUCAUACUAUUCCACACAGCAUUGCCUCUGACCAAGGCACUCACUUUAUUGCUAAACAAUGGCCGCAGUGGACUCAUGCUCAUAGAAUUCACUGGUCUUACCAUGUUCCCCAUCAUCCUGAAGCAGCUGGAUUGAUAGAACAGUAGAAUGGCCUUUUGAAGUCAUGAUUACAAUGCCAACUAGGCAAUAGUUUGCAGGGCUGGGGCAAAGUUCUCCAGAAGGCCAUGUAUGCUCUGAAUCAGCAUGCAAUAUGUGGUACUGUUUUUCCCAUAGCCAGGAUUCACAGGUCCAGGAAUCAAAACACAUGGAAGUGGAAGUGGCACCACUCACCAUUGCCCCUAAUGAUCCUCCCGCAAAAUUUUUGCAUACUGUUCCCUUGACAUUAUGUUCUGCUGGCCUAGAGGUCUUAGUUUCAGAGGGAGGAACACUGCCACCAGGAGACACAACAAUGAUUCCAUUAAACUGGAAGUUAAGAUUGCCACCCGGACACUGGGCUUCUCCUACCUUUAAGUCAACAGGCUAAGAAGAGACUUACAAUGUUGGCUGGGGAGAUUGACCCAGACUGUCAAGAUGAAAUCAGUCUACUAUGCCACAGUGGAGGUAAGGAAGAAUAUGUGUGGAAUACAGGAUAUCCAUUAGGGCAUCUCUUAGUAUUACCAUGCCCUGUGAUUAAGGUCAGUGGGAAAGUUCCACAGCCCAAUCCACGCAGGAAGACAAAUGGCCCAGACCCUUCAGGAAUGAAGGUUUUGGUCACUCCACCAGGAAAAAAACCACAAGGCAAAGGGAGUACAUAAUUGGUAGUAGAAGGAGGUAGUCAUCAAUACCAGCUACGACUAUGUUGCCAGUUGCAGAAAUGAGGACUGUAAUUGUCAUGAGUAUUUUCCCUUUCUUUUGUUAAAAACAUGUUUGUGCACGUAUACACUUGUACUAAGAAAAUAUCUUCAUUUUAUUUCCUUUUUCCUUUAUCAUGUGACGUAAGAUUUAUUGACUUCACAUCAGCAUUGAAGUAUUGUUAACUUUAUGUAAUUGCAUUUGGGUUGGGGGAUUGGUGCAUUUCUAGUUGUAUAAAGGAUAGUUGUAUUAUGUUAGGUGUAAUUACGACCUUAUUACUGUCUUUAUUUGAAGAUCAUGUAUGAUCUCAGGAGAUGUGUAUGGGUUCAAGUUGACAAGGGGUGGACUUGUGAUAGUUAAUACUGACUGUCAACUUGAUUGGAUUGAAGGAUGCAAAGUAUUGAUCCUGGGUGUGUCUGUGAGAGUGUUGCCAAAGGAAAUUAACAUUUGAGUAAGUAGGCUGGGAAAGGCAGACCCACCCUUAAUCUGGGUGGGCACCAUUGAAUCAGUUGCCAAUGUGGCCAGGAUAUAAAGCAGGCAGAAAAACGCAAAAAGGCUGGACUGUCCUGGCCUCCUAGCUUACAUCUUUCUACCGUGCUGGAUGAUUCCUGCCCUUAAACACUGGACCCCAACUUCUUCAGCUUUGGGACUUGGGCUGGCUUCCUUGCUCCUCAGCUUGCAGAUGACGUAUUGUGAGACCUUGUAAUUGUGUGAGUUAAUACUACUUAAUAAACUCUCCUUUAUGUAAUCUACCUAUCUUAUUAGUUCUGUCCCUCUAGGGGGCCCUGGCUAAUACACUACCCUACUUAGUAUUAAGUUCUGAUGCUCCAGUGUGCUCUUCAGGCCUAUGCAUUAGCCAUUCUCUUUGGAAAGCUCCUUUCCAGAAUUUCACAUGACUCGUAGCUUUACCUCAUUAGAGAAGACUUUCCUGACCAAUACACUGAAGGUAAAACACAACUCUUGUCUCCCACUAAAGUGUAAAUGCCAUGAGAACAGGGACUUCAUUGGGUUUGUAUACAGCUCUAUGCCCAAGGCCUUGCAGAGAAACUGGUAUAUAAUGUGUACUCAAUAAAUGUUUUUAAAAAAUAAAUGUCUGAAUGAAAUUUUGAUGUUGUAUGUAGCAAGGUUGUAUAAACCUGAAAAGGGAGAAAGGAGGAAGCAACAAAAUUAACAUUGCUUAACAAGCAUUAUGCUCUAUGCACUCUACUAGGUACUGUUAAUAUAUUAUCCUACUUAAUCUUCAUAUACCUAUAAGGCCAAGAUCAAAGUCAUACUGCUAAUUAAUGACAAAGAUAGAUUUCAAGGUCUGACUAUACUGAAUUUAUAUAUCAAGUAAUUUUAAGUAAGAACGAUCACUGACUAUUUAAAGGAAGAAGGCAAAUUCUAUUGUAUUGUAAGUAAAUACCCAUUAUAUAUCUGUGUUUUUGUUAAUAUUUUAUGGUCUAUAAUAGUCAACUAUAGACAUAAUCUUUUUUUAGUUUUUGACAUUUAACAUCAACAAAUAGAAUCCUGAAAACAUAGUUGGUGCGUGGAGUCCACGCUGGGACAACUCUUUGCCCUCAGACUCUUUUUGUUUUUUAGGACCGAUUAUGGGAACCACAGGCAGCCCAUUGGGGCUGAAAAUGUUUUUUGAUCAAGCGAAUUACUUCUGCCUUGAAUUUGCUUUCUUUGUAAUAAAUGAGGGAAUGGAUUAGGUAUCCCAUCUUCUAAAUAGCCAUCAAAAAUCCUGGUAGGAUUCUCAUUUUUCUCUGAGCAUUAAGACUUUAAAAGUGCAAAUGCUUAAAUGUUUGGAGUCUUUGGUAAUAUACUUUCUUUGAAAAGAUAUCAAAAUGGAGUUGUCAGAGGGCUCUAAAAAUCACUGGUGAACAAAUAAUCCUCUAAGGCUGUCAAGGCCUAAGGGGACUUUUAUUCAGCCUAGAGAGUUAUCUCAUUGACAAGGGGCUUACUAAACGCUGAAUAGAAGAAAACCCAUUUACAAGAAAUGGGCCAGUUGGUGCAUCAAAUCAGUGGUUAAUCUAAACCUGGCAGAGAAACACAGGAACUGUGUUAGCUCACGAGAAUGCACAUGGGUCAUACAUUUUCCUUCUCAUUUCUUCCAAUCACAAACAAAUUCUGCUUUCUGGGUGGUGUACUGAAGAGUCUGUCCAUGGAAGCAUGAAGAGAAAUUGAGAAAUAGUGUGUAGAACAUUUAGAUUAUAUAAUCUAUUUAGGGAACUACUUAAAUGUAGCACAUUGUAAUCAAGCCUUCUGUAGUGCUCUAGUCAUGUGAAUAUAGAUUAGUUUUCUUCAUGCAAAAUUAUGCAAACUUUGACUCUGUGUAUUAUUUUCAGCAAUUUGACAGAAUACUAUUGAAUGUAAAAUUGAAAACAUUUUAUAAAGAAUGAGAAUAUGAUAGUUAUUCAAUCAGAAAUGUAAUUGAAUCUUUGGAAAGGACAACACAAAUCUUAAAGCAUUAUGCCAUUAACAGACAGCUUUCUAGGGAGAAACCUUGGCCUGGAGUGGAGAGAACAUGCAUAGGAAAGAGGAAUCAUGAGUUCCAGCCCUGGUUUUCUCAUCUUCUGGCGGUGUGCCCUGGGUUAGCUUACUUUAUUUUCCAGGACUCAAUCUCCUCAUCUGUGAAUGAAGAUUUACAUCAGUUCCAUAGUUUUUAGGUUUUGGAACUUUCUUCAAAAUAUUUAUGAAAACACUACGUCUAAGACUAAAA